CGGCAAGGGGCUCCUGGCCAGGGAGGUGGUGGUGGCCUGAGCCACGAGGACACCCUGGCGCUGCUGGAGGGGCUAGUGAGCCGCCGUGAAGCUGCCCUGAAGGAGGAUUUCCGCAGGGAAACUGCUGCUCGCAUCCAGGAAGAACUGUCUGCCCUGAGAGCAGAGCAUCAGCAAGACUCAGAAGACCUCUUCAAGAAGAUCGUCCGGGCCUCCCAGGAGUCCGAGGCUCGCAUCCAGCAGCUGAAGUCAGAGUGGCAAAGGUACUGGGCGCCACCAGCUGGCCUCGGCCUGCUCCUCCCCAGCCCCACCCACUCUCCAGGCAGGACUGGGGAGCAGAGCCGCAGAGCAGAGAGUUCUGAUCAUCUUGCCAAGCAGAUGCAUGACCCAGGAGUCCUUCCAGGAGAGCUCUGUGAAGGAGCUGAGGCGGCUGGAGGACCAGCUGGCCGGCCUGCAGCAGGAGCUGGCGGCUCUGGCACUGAAGCAGAGCUCGGUGGCGGAAGAAGUGGGCCUGCUGCCCCAGCAGAUCCAGGCCGUGCGGGACGACGUGGAAUCUCAGUUCCCGGCCUGGAUCAGUCAGUUCCUUGCCCGAGGUGGAGGGGGCCGCGUGGGGCUCCUUCAGAGAGAGGAGAUGCAAGCUCAGCUGCGAGAGCUGGAGAGCAAGAUCCUCACCCAUGUGGCAGAGAUGCAGGGCAAGUCGGCCAGGGAAGCCGCGGCCUCCCUGAGCCUGACGCUGCAGAAAGAAGGUGUGAUUGGAGUGACAGAGGAGCAGGUGCACCACAUCGUGAAGCAGGCCCUGCAGCGCUACAGUGAGGACCGCAUCGGGCUGGCAGACUACGCCCUGGAGUCAGGAGGGGCCAGCGUCAUCAGCACCCGAUGUUCUGAGACCUACGAGACCAAGACGGCCCUCCUCAGCC
RNAcentral lists this long non-coding RNA (914 nucleotides) under Homo sapiens (human). Its description in RNAcentral is "non-protein coding lnc-DNAL4-3:3". The record is from RNAcentral. Lineage: Eukaryota; Metazoa; Chordata; Mammalia; Primates; Hominidae.